GAAGAAGAGGAGCUCCCUGAACCCGUGUGUGUAGAGUGUGGCCAGUCUGUGCACGCUGGGACGGAAACGGGAAAACGGGCGGCUGCUGCGAUAUCCUGUAUCCGACAAAUUAUUAUUCUACUGCCACUUUUUUCCAAAAACGGCACCCCUGCCCCUGUUGGCCAAGCGAGGCAGCGACAGCAACAGUAAUCGCAAGACAAACGCGCGCUCAGUGCGACACGGAACCUUGAUAACAGGUGGUGCUCCGGUUUCCGGUGCGUGAGAAGUGAGCUUGCCACGCCGUGAUCGCCGUUUCGCCAGCCCGAACGCAAUACCAUGCAAGCCAUCAAAUGUGUCGUCGUCGGUGACGGUGCGGUCGGUAAGACGUGUCUGCUGAUCAGCUACACCACGAACGCGUUCCCGGGCGAAUACAUACCGACCGUGUUCGACAACUACUCGGCAAACGUGAUGGUCGACAGCAAACCGAUCAAUCUCGGGCUGUGGGACACGGCCGGCCAGGAGGAUUACGAUCGGCUACGGCCCCUGUCCUACCCGCAGACGGACGUCUUUCUCAUCUGCUUCUCGCUCGUCAAUCCGGCCUCGUUCGAGAACGUGCGGGCGAAGUGGUAUCCGGAGGUGCGCCACCACUGCCCCAACAUACCAAUCAUAUUGGUCGGCACCAAGCUCGAUCUACGGGACGACAAGGGCACGGUGGACAAGCUGCGCGACAAGAAGCUGUCGCCAAUCACCUACCCGCAGGGGUUGGCCAUGGCGAAGGAGAUCGGAGCGGUCAAGUACCUCGAGUGCUCAGCCCUCACGCAGAAGGGCCUCAAGACGGUGUUCGAUGAGGCGAUCCGGGCGGUGCUGUGUCCGAUGAUACCACCCAAGAAAAAACCCAAGUGUAACAUCCUCUAAAGAUCGUCCUUCUUCCUUUCGUUUAAGCCGCGCGUGUAGCCACCAAACCUACACCACAACCUCUCUCUCUCGCUCACUCUCUGACUCUCUCUCUCUCUGAACCUUACUGCCGCCUGCCUGUCUGCAACUCUCCCUCCCUUGAAAACUUCUCCCCACGAAAGUGACCGAUUUGGAGUGACCCUUUCCUACCGGUGUGCACAAACGACGACGACAUAACGCGCCCAAAAAGCGCGCGGAUUGCUCCUUCUGCUCGCGCGCAACCAACCAGAGUGGAGCAGAAGGACAAGGGCGCGAGAAACGAUCGGUCGAAAGGGACACGAAACGACACUCCAGGAAAUGACGACGCAAAACGCAUAUUAAAAAAUUUGGCAAAAUUCUCCACGCAUCGUUAUCAAUCAUCAACGCCGUGACCAUCACAUUUCCAUGACGUUUUGUUUUCACCCUUUUGGGAUCCACAAUCGGCGCCGGAUGGAUGUGAACCGAUCGGGGAAUGGUUGGGCUUGCUGUCCUUUUUUUUCCAGACCCACAGGCGCAUGCUCCUAUGGGUUGUUUUUUCAAACAUAAGUCUCGUUAAUGAACGAGCGACCAAUCCGCACGGUCACCGGAUUUAACGGAUCGGAAUUGUCCGGUGCCUUACCACCGUCGUUUCUUGUUUUGAUGGUACGGAUUGCGCAAUGAGUGUGUGUGUGUGGGUGUGUGCUUGUGUUUGUGUUUGUGUAGAUAUUAGAAUUGAAAUAUCUUCCGAAUUCCUUUGGAACAUCAUCAUCUUCAACGUGAACAGACAAACAGCUACAGAGAGAAAGGCGCUCUAGUUUUAACCCGACACUAUCGACGAGUGUGCGUUUAUCAUCUCUCACGCACAGUCGGACCCAGCAACACGCGAUUGAUUCAUUCACAAAGAUUUGCGUUCAUCAAAAUCAACCUAAAGAUUGGCAAACCUCCACCAAAAUUGGCCCAAAAUGUUGCCAUGUUGAAGAUGAUGAUGACCACCGGGAAAGGAUGAUGGCUACGUCACGGCGAUCGGAAACAUUUGUAUCGAUCACACUGCAUUUCAGCUCCUCAAAGAAUUGGCGUAGACUUAAGCGAAGAAUUGUCCCACCACAUCUACACAUCAUGCACGCACAUACACAUUAGCGAACCGGUAACCAUGUUUCGUUGCGCAAUGUCCCAAAGUUUCAUUCAAUAUUCUUUUACAUCUCCGUUCAAACUAGGUGAAAGUUAGGCAUAUCAUUUUUGUCAUGAAAUGUCCCUGUCGUUUCUCAAGGGUAUGAAAUGCAAUUUGGAAUCACAAUGUCAGUAAUGAGCCCCCCGACAAAGGAAGUCAUGAGGGAACUGUUUUUUUUUUCUUACUCGUUAAUACAUCUUAAGUUAUUGGAGAUUUGAAGGAACUAUCAUCCGGCGCCGAGCGCUUUUUUAUUCAUUACUAUUCUUCUAUGCUUUUCUUUCUUUAUAUUUCUAAUAUUGUCAAAUCUAUGCCGGCAAUUGGUUGCACAAAAAUUCCAAAACAUACGGAGUCGUUGGGAGAAGUUGGGAGUCGAGGAGAGCCUUGCAGAAUUCUUCUCAAAGAAGAUAAAAGGUCGCACACGGGGAGGACGACACAGAGGGAGGGUAGGUUUCUUCCGCUAUAUAAGGCUGCGAUUAACAGGGAGAAGAAACGGGAGCGGGAUCGAGGGGGAUCACAUAAAAACAAAAAACCAGGAGACCGAUUGGCGGGAGUAGAGAAAAAAAGGUAAUAGUUCUUAGUGUCAAGGCCCGGCUCUUUGCAACAAACGGAAUGAAAGCAAGCGCGAAAUGAGGAGAAUAUACAAAACAAACCCAAAAUCAAACAAACUAUGUAAGAUAGGUGUGUAGCGAGGCAGAAGUACACGAAAUAUCGUCAGUCAACUCGAACUCGAACCGCUCGAACUCGAUACGUCGAUAAUGGGAGAAACGCGGACACGUGGAACAACGGGACCACGGUGCAGGGUGCAGAAGUGCUUGGCCAAUCGUGCUGCCUGUGUGUGUGUGUGGCUGGGAAAGGAGGUAGCAGGGCUGUGUGCCAUUUAUUGCGAAUAUGAACCACUCGCGCUUUGCUUUUUUUGCGGUAAAAGUGCCACCAAUUUGUGGUCGUUUUUUUUCUAAUUUACACACACGAAACGAUAGCUAUUGCUUCGCUGUGCGCGCGCUCGGCACCUAUCCCUGCGUUAGUUAUCAUGCUGCAAUCACACUGAUUUGUUGUGCCUCGUCCCGCGACAAACUUACGCACGCGGUUCCGUUCCGUUGUUCCAUACGUUUACGUUUUCCGGCAUCACCCCUCACCUGAGCAUAAACAAACGCUGGUUUAGAAUCGAUAAACUACAUUCAGUUGGCUUCCGUUUGAGCAAUAAGAGAGAACGCGUAGGGGAGAGUGUUACAAACAGAUCGUCCCCCGUUCGUAAUAACUAUUAUUCAUCUGUUUUUUUUGUCGCUGUGUAAAAGUGUAUAGAUGUUUUGUUGUCUCUGAGAAAAUGCGCUUUUUCUGUAAAUGUGUGCAUUUCGUUACGUUCCGGCUAAGAAAGCACGGCCUCUGGCGGGGAGGCCCUUUCCGUUAGCUUUGCGCGGCUACGCGUGGAAGCGUUGCGAUGACCGUUUGUGCACGAGCGGAACGCAACGGAAAACACAGAGAAUCGCUCUAACUCGUAAAAAAGGCGAAAAAAUCCGUAACCAAAUAGAUGUAACAGUGAGAGAGAAAGAAAUAUAGGAAUCGAAAACCUAAAUAAAUGAUCGUAUCUUUUCGGUAGGGAUGUUUGCAAUGUGCAUUAUAGCUAACACACAUCAUCCUUAUCGAGGAAAGGUAUGUGGUGGAACUUUAAAAAAAAUAGAAACUUUAUAACAAAGUGUAAUGCAUAUUAAUAUUAGGUAGGCCUGCGAGACAUGCGUGCGCUUUUCCUGCGUUUUUGUUUUCAAAAAACUAACCGAUGGGAAAGAGAAAGAGAGAAACCCGAGAAACAAUAACUUGAUUCCGAUGCGCGCGCCCUAAACCUUUCUCCAGAAGAACAAGAAGGAUACACGAGAAUAUCAGAGACGACCAGCGGCGACUCCCCUCAAAAAGAGAUACACAUCAAACGCACAUCGGUGGCAACGGCCCUAGUAGUGACCCCAAAAGCGCCCACACACCCACAAGCAAAGGUGGCGCAAGGAGGUAUUCCAAACGUCACACACGCGACACUGGCUGCCACACACAAUCAAACAAGAGUCACGUCGGAGUGCGUCCUGGUGAAUGCGCGGUGUGCUUUCGAAAUUGUAUUUUAAAUAGUGACCCCAAAUGCUGGUAGGGAGUAGAGACUAUAGCAAAACGACAAACACGAUGACGGUGAUGACAGAGAGAAGCAGAACGAAAAUUGGCAAUGUUGAAUCAUUAUAUAGCCCAUCUGUUCAUCUGUUCCUGUUUCCCUCCAAAAACAUAUAUAUAUGGGCAGACAUUCUAUCGGGGAAAAGGAAGGACACUAAGAAAGUGCGUCGUUGGACCUUCUUUAAUCGUGAAACAAAAAAACCCGGAAGCUUUUGAUCAGAAAAGGGAUCCGUUAGACGAUGAAGUGCGAGAGAGACAGGGCGCGAGAAUGCAACUAGAGAUGAAAGAAUAUGAUAUGAUGAUGAUUGAUAUAACACUUUUUAAUAAGUAAUGGAUUAUUAUGAUUACGAUUAUUAUUAUUAUUAUUGAGUAAUUAAUAAAACAGAGGUAAAAUAC
This is an RNA transcript of Anopheles cruzii, 4600 nucleotides long. It is a transcript of the gene named ras-related protein Rac1-like, with no coding region annotated. Lineage: Eukaryota; Metazoa; Arthropoda; Insecta; Diptera; Culicidae. The record is from RefSeq and is a predicted model, not a curated record. The transcript is spliced from 3 exons.